AAAAAUAAAGUAAUGGUAGAAGCACCUGAUUAAUAACUCACUAAAACUCAAGGACAUCAAGUGAGACCGACUGAGAGAGUUCAACCACAUGAAACCAGAGGUGCAGACACGACAUGUAACUUUAUGUUCACAGAAAAUAAUUUCUUGCAAUCUAUACUUCUUUUUCCUCCUGUAGUGUAAAUAUUAUUCUUGUGGAUGUUUAGAUGAUCAGCUAUCAUCUGUUCAGGUCCAGUGACUUCCCCUGGCUAAAGCUGGCCCUAAAGAGAAUGUGUCUGUCAAAGUGAACAGGAGCGGAAAUGAAUAAAAUAUAUUGAACAUUAA
Molecule: long non-coding RNA, 321 nt
Organism: Labrus mixtus (cuckoo wrasse)
Lineage: Eukaryota; Metazoa; Chordata; Actinopteri; Labriformes; Labridae
Exons: 2
Source: RefSeq, a predicted model, not a curated record